Molecule: ribosomal RNA, 433 nt
Filed under: uncultured bacterium
Lineage: Bacteria
Description: partial 16S ribosomal RNA
Rfam family: Bacterial small subunit ribosomal RNA
Source: RNAcentral
AACGAACGCUGGCGGCAUGCCUAACACAUGCAAGUCGAACGAGACCUUCGGGUCUAGUGGCGCACGGGUGCGUAACGCGUGGGAACCUGCCCUUAGGUUCGGCAUAACUCCCCGAAAGGGGUGCUAAUACCGGAUAAUGUCUUCGGACCAAAGAUUUAUCGCCGUUGGAUGGGCCCGCGUUGGAUUAGCUAGUUGGUAGGGUAAAAGCCUACCAAGGCGACGAUCCAUAGCUGGUCUGAGAGGAUGAUCAGCCACACUGGGACUGAGACACGGCCCAGACUACUACGGGAGGCAGCAGUGGGGAAUAUUGGACAGUGGGCGAAAGCCUGAUCCAGCAAUGCCGCGUGAGUGAUGAAGGCCUUAGGGUUGUAAAGCUCUUUUACCCGGGAUGAUAAUGACAGUACCGGGAGAAUAAGCUCCGGCUAACUCCGUG